CUGGCUCAGGAUGAACGCUAGCUACAGGCUUAACACAUGCAAGUCGAGGGGUAGCAGGGUAGCAAUACCGCUGACGCCGGCGCACGGGUGAGUAACACGUAUCCAACCUUCCCAUAACUCAGGGAUAGCCUUUCGAAAGAAAGAUUAAUACCUGAUAGUACUUUUUCAAGGCAUCUUGAGAAAGUUAAAGAUUUAUUGGUCAUGGAUGGGGAUGCGUUCCAUUAGAUAGUUGGUGAGGUAACGGCUCACCAAGUCUUCGAUGGAUAGGGGUUCUGAGAGGAAGGUCCCCCACAUUGGUACUGAGACACGGACCAAACUCCUACGGGAGGCAGCAGUGAGGAAUAUUGGUCAAUGGGCGAGAGCCUGAGCCAGCCAAGUAGCGUGAAGGAAUGAAGGUCCUAUGGAUUGUAAACUUCUUUUAUAGUAGAAUAAAGUGAUCCACGUGUGGAUUUUUGUAUGUAUACUAUGAAUAAGGAUCGGCUAACUCCGUGCCAGCCGCGGC
RNAcentral lists this ribosomal RNA (502 nucleotides) under uncultured bacterium. Its description in RNAcentral is "bacterial SSU rRNA". It matches the Rfam family "Bacterial small subunit ribosomal RNA", at positions 19 to 518 of the family's 1533-position model. The record is from RNAcentral.